Boleophthalmus pectinirostris (great blue-spotted mudskipper) is the source of this 2394-nucleotide long non-coding RNA. RefSeq lists it as uncharacterized. Lineage: Eukaryota; Metazoa; Chordata; Actinopteri; Gobiiformes; Gobiidae. The record is from RefSeq and is a predicted model, not a curated record. The transcript is spliced from 2 exons.
CUAAACCAGGUCUAAACCAGGUCUAAACCAGGACUGAACCAGGACUGAACCAGGACUGAACCAGGUCUAAACCAGGACUGAACCAGGACUAAACCAGGACUGAACCAGUUCUGAAUCCGGACUAAACCAAGACUAAACCAGGUCUAAACUAGGACAGAACCAGGACUGAACCAGGACCAAACCAGGACUGAACCAGGACUAAACCAGGACUGAACCAGGACCAAACCAGGACUGAAGUGAAUCUAAACAAGGACUGAACCAGGACUAAACGAUCCCUCACGUCCUCCUCAGCGCUCGACUCUGUUUGGCUCAUUUACCCAGGAUGCACCUGUGGAUCUUUAAACGCCUCACAGUGCUGCAAAUUGCCCACAAUCCACCGCAACUUCAUUUUUUACUAACUUUUUUUAAAGCAGUUGCUAUUUUAGAUCUUUUAAAAACUUUAUUAUCAGAUCAAAUGAGCUGAAAUUAGGACAAAAUAUUGAGCAAAAUGUUUUUAAGAAGAGGACUUGGAAACGAUCAUCUGAAAAUAUUUACAGCUGCACAUUUAAAUCACUAACAGACAGUGUUGGGGAGUAACAGAUUACAUGUAUUGGAGUUACAUAAUCAGAGUACAAAUUAUGAGUAACUGUAUUCAGUUACAGUUACUGUUUCAGUGAGUGGUAAUUGGAUUACAGUUACUUUGUUGAAAUAAAUGGAUUACAUGGCGGGCUUUUCCUGUUUUCACAUUUUGGACUAAACCAGGACUAAACCAGGACUAAACCAGGACUAAACCAGGUCUAAACCAGGUCUAAACCAAGUCUAAACCAAGUCUAAACCAAGUCUAAACCAGGACUAAAACGGGGUCUAAACCUAGUCUAAACCUAGUCUAAACCUAGUCUAAACCUAGUCUAAACCAGGUCUAAACCAGGUCUAAACCAGGUCUAAACCAGGUCUAAACCAAGUCUAAACCAAGUCUAAACCAAGUCUAAACCAGGGCCAAUUUGAAGAGAACAAACGAGAAUUUUCAGGAUGUGGUUGUUACAUUCAUGUAGUUUUAAAAAACAUGACAAUAUCAAGUAAUCCAAAGUAAUCUGAUUACGUUACUCACUUUAAGUAAUUUAAUGGAUAAUGUUACAAACUACAUUUUAGGAUAUGUAAUCUGUAAUCUGUACGGGAAUACAUUUUAAAAGUAAACUUCCCAACACUGCUAACAGAUGAUUCACUUAGUCGUUAAAACAUGUGAAUAAUUAAGACACUUCCGAAUACUUUUCAUUUGUAGAAGCUUUGAUGUUCAGUAAAACUUCCUCCGGAUCCUGUUCCAAAUUUUCUCCCGGGAUCUGUGAGCCGGACACGUGGCUCUGCUUCAGACGAGCCGAGUCCAGACGAGUGUUACAGAGUCGUGUUUGGAGGAAGGAUCCUGGGAAUUGAGAAACUCCCCAUGACUAAAACAGACCGAGCCACUUGUGUGUGAAUGACUAAUGUCAAGUCUAAAACGAGGACUGACUCAGGACUAAACCAGGAACGGACCCGAGACAAACCAGCACAAAACCAGGACUGUUUAAUGAAUACAGUUUUAACUUUUUACAAUGAGCUUUUACUCCUUUUGUAAAGUCACAUGGGUCUUAAACAGUGUUGGAAAGUUUACUUUUAAAAUGUAUUCCCCUACAGAUUACAGAUUACAUAUCCCAAAAUGUAGUUUGUAACUUAAUCCAUUUAAUUACUUAAAGUGAGUAAUCUGAAUACUUUGGAUUAUUUUGAUUUGCUGUAGAGAAGCAAAGACCAGGAUAUCGUAACAUAAAAUGUUUUGUCUGAUAAAAGAAAAUAAAAAGCCCAGACUUUACUGAACCAAAUUAAAAAUAUUAUUGAUAGAAGAUGAAGAGACACGUCCACACAGCAGGAUUUAAUCCUGGUUUAGACCUGGUUUAGAUCUAGUUUAGUUUCCAACAAUGAGUGGAAUUACCGAGAAAAAAGAAAAGGGGGAUAUAGUCCAAAAUGUGAAAACAGGAAAAUCCCGCCGUGUAAUCCAUUUAUUUCAACAAAGUAACUGUAAUCCAAUUACCACUCACUGAAACAGUAACUGUAUCUGAAUACAGUUACUCAUAAUUUGUACUCUGAUUACGUAACUCUUGUACAUGUAAUCUGUUACUCCCCAACACUGGCCUUAAAUGUGACCAACAGAAAUGACUCAGACAACGGUUGAGUCCUGGUUUAGUCCUGGUUGAGUCCGAGGACUUGACACUGCUGCAUGUUCCGUGUUUGUACUCGACACUAACGUCCAUGUUUACGUCUGACAAAGGGAGCCUCCACUUUUAUAUGACAGAUUUGUUCAAAUCAUAAUAUAUUCAUGUUAUAAUAAUAUAAUAAUGCCCUGUACUGUAACCUUUGUAUUCAGUGAUUAAAGUCAUAUUUAUAAAA